Molecule: ribosomal RNA, 205 nt
Filed under: uncultured Bacteroides sp.
Lineage: Bacteria; Pseudomonadati; Bacteroidota; Bacteroidia; Bacteroidales; Bacteroidaceae
Description: partial 16S ribosomal RNA
Rfam family: Bacterial small subunit ribosomal RNA
Source: RNAcentral
UACUUACUCCUACGGGAGGCAGCAGUGAGGAAUAUUGGUCAAUGGACGGAAGUUUGAACCAGCCAAGUAGCGUGAAGGAUGACUGCCCUCUGGGUUGUAAACUUCUUUUAUACGGAAAUAACAUGAGGUACGCGUACCUUAUUGCAUGUACCGUUAUGAAUAAGCAUCGGCUAACUCCGUGCCAGCAGCCGCGGUAAUACUGACA